CCUACGGGAGGCAGCAGUGAGGAAUAUUGGUCAAUGGCCGUAAGGCUGAACCAGCCAAGUAGCGUGAGGGAAGACUGCCCUAUGGGUUGUAAACCUCUUUUAUGCGGGGAUAAAGGUGUCCACGUGUGGAUGUUUGCAGGUACCGCAUGAAUAAGGACCGGCUAAUUCCGUGCCAGCAGCCGCGGUAAU
Molecule: ribosomal RNA, 189 nt
Filed under: uncultured bacterium
Lineage: Bacteria
Description: partial 16S ribosomal RNA
Rfam family: Bacterial small subunit ribosomal RNA
Source: RNAcentral